CCUUGGACUCCUCAGAAUCUAGCUAUUUUAGAAUUCUCUUUUUCUUAUACAACCUUAGUAUACUUUAAACCUCCAUGGGAAAAAAAAGAAAAAAAAUCUAAUUAGGAUUAGCAUGGAAAUUAAAAUGUUGGAAAAUAUAGCUGCAUUGACAUAACAUUAUAUUAUCUAAAGUAGAAUAUAUAAUUGCUAUUUGAUUGAUGCUAACAACAGAGAUGAGCGGAAACCACAUCUAUGAAAGCCUCACAACUUCAUUACUCUCAAAUGAACCAAUCAUAGCUCACGAACAGCUUGAGUUUGAUGCAAAAUUGGGCUGCAC
This 316-nucleotide long non-coding RNA is filed under the name Elaeis guineensis (African oil palm). RNAcentral's name for it is "long non-coding RNA (EGUI_LNC031387)". Lineage: Eukaryota; Viridiplantae; Streptophyta; Magnoliopsida; Arecales; Arecaceae. The record is from RNAcentral.